GACGGGUAGGGGACGUGAGAGCGUGGCCCCCACACUGGCACUGAGACACGGGCCAGACUCCUACGGGAGGCAGAGUGAGGAAUAUGCCCAAUGGACGCAAGUCUGAGGCAGCAACGCCGCGUGGAUGAUGAAGCUCGGGUCGUAAAAUCCUUUCUGGGGGAAGAGGAAGGACGGUACCUCAGGAAUAAGUCUCGGCUAACUAUGUGCCAGCAGCCGCGGUAAGACAUAGGAGGCAAGCGUUAUCCGGAUUUACUGGGCGUAAAGGGCGUUGAGGCGGUCUUGUAAGUUGGACGUGAAAGCUCCUGGCUCAACUAGGAGAGGCCGUUCAAUACUGCGAGACUUGAGGACAGCAGAGGGGGGUGGAAUUCCCGGUGUAGUGGUGAAAUGCGUAGAGAUCGGGAGGAACACCAGUGGCGAAGGCGGCCCCCUGGGCUGCUCCUGACGCUGAAUGCGAAAGCUAGGGUAGCAAACGGGAUUAGAAACCCCGGUAGUCCUAGCCGUAAACGAUGGAUACUAGGUGUGGGGGGGUUAGAUACCCUCUGUGCCGGAGCUAACGCGGUAAGUAUCCCGCCUGGGGACUACGGUCGCAAGGCUAAGACUCAAAGGAAUUGACGGGGGCCCGCACAAGCAGCGGAGCGUGUGGUUUAAUUCGAUGCAACGCGAAGAACCUUACCAGGGCUUGACAUGCAAGUAGUAGUGAAGCGAAAGCGGAACGAUCCUUCGGGAAGCUUGCACAGGUGCUGCAUGGCUGUCGUCAGCUCGUGCCGUGAGGUGUUAGGUUAAGUCCUGUAACGAGCGCAACCCUUGCCGUUAGUUACAAGUGUCUAACGGGACUGCCCGGCUCAACUGGGAGGAAGGUGGGGAUGACGUCAAGUCAGCAUGGCCUUUAUGUCCUGGGCUACACACACGCUACAAUGGCCGGUACAAUGGGUAGCCAAGCCGUGAGGCGGAGCCAAUCCUGUAAAGCCGGUCUCAGUUCGGAUUGCAGGCUGCAACUCGCCUGCAUGAAGUCGGAGUUGCUAGUAACCGCAGGUCAGCCACACUGCGGUGAUACGUUCCCGGGCAUUGUACACACCGCCCGUCACGUCAUGGGAGCUGGUAACACCUGAAGCCGGUGAGCUAACCGUC
This 1128-nucleotide ribosomal RNA is filed under the name uncultured organism. RNAcentral's name for it is "bacterial SSU rRNA". It matches the Rfam family "Bacterial small subunit ribosomal RNA", at positions 278 to 1443 of the family's 1533-position model. The record is from RNAcentral.